GCCUGAAGAUGAACUCGCGUCCGAUUAGCUAGUUGGAGUGGUAAUGGCACCCCAAGGCGAUGAUCGGUAGCUGGUCUGAGAGGAUGAUCAGCCACACUGGGACUGAGACACGGCCCAGACUCCUACGGGAGGCAGCAGUGGGGAAUUUUCCGCAAUGGGCGCAAGCCUGACGGAGCAACACCGCGUGCGGGAGGAAGGCCUUUGGGUUGUAAACCGCUUUUGUCAGGAAGAAGAUCUGGCCGUCCUGCGGAUCAGCAUCGGUAAUUUUCGCCAGGAGUCGCGGGAAUACGGACGAUGGAA
RNAcentral lists this ribosomal RNA (300 nucleotides) under uncultured cyanobacterium. RNAcentral's name for it is "bacterial SSU rRNA". It matches the Rfam family "Bacterial small subunit ribosomal RNA", at positions 217 to 537 of the family's 1533-position model. Lineage: Bacteria; Bacillati; Cyanobacteriota. The record is from RNAcentral.